Molecule: transfer RNA, 62 nt
Filed under: Ictidomys tridecemlineatus (thirteen-lined ground squirrel)
Lineage: Eukaryota; Metazoa; Chordata; Mammalia; Rodentia; Sciuridae
Description: Spermophilus tridecemlineatus (thirteen-lined ground squirrel) tRNA
Rfam family: tRNA
About the family: Transfer RNA (tRNA) molecules are approximately 80 nucleotides in length. Their secondary structure includes four short double-helical elements and three loops (D, anti-codon, and T loops).
Source: Rfam by way of RNAcentral
GGGAUUGUGGCUCAGUGAUAGAGUGCUUGUCUAGAAUGCAUGAGUCAUUGGAUUCAGUCCCA